RNAcentral lists this ribosomal RNA (497 nucleotides) under uncultured bacterium. RNAcentral describes it as "partial 16S ribosomal RNA". It matches the Rfam family "Bacterial small subunit ribosomal RNA", at positions 28 to 507 of the family's 1533-position model. The record is from RNAcentral.
GAUGAACGCUGGCGGCGUGCCUAAUACAUGCAAGUCGAGCGAACAGACGAGGAGCUUGCUCCUCUGACGUUAGCGGCGGACGGGUGAGUAACACGUGGAUAACCUACCUAUAAGACUGGGAUAACUUCGGGAAACCGGAGCUAAUACCGGAUAAUAUAUUGAACCGCAGGGUUCAAUAGUGAAAGACGGUUUUGCUGUCACUUAUAGAUGGAUCCGCGCCGCAUUAGCUAGUUGGUAAGGUAACGGCUUACCAAGGCAACGAUGCGUAGCCGACCUGAGAGGGUGAUCGGCCACACUAGAACUGAGACACGGUCCAGACUCCUACGGGAGGCCACAGUAGGGAAUCUUCCGCAAUGGGCGAAAGCCUGACGGAGCAACGCCGCGUGAGUGAUGAAGGUCUUCGGAUCGUAAAACUCUGUUAUUAGGGAAGAACAAAUGUGUAAGUAACUAUGCACGUCUUGACGGUACCUAAUCAGAAAGCCCCGGCUAACUACGUG